UGGAAAAACGGGCCUCUGGGUAUCUCGCUGCCGGUCGGCUGGUGACCCCCCAGCGGAGGGACCGGGCCGAGCCCGCGGACCCCUCCGAGUGUCUCCUGGGGCCUAGCCGUUGGGACCCCAUUUCCCCCGGGUCCGGUAUUUGGGGUGGUCUCUGUCUGCCCCGGUUCAUCUCCACCGUCUCACCUUCACCCCAUCUUGGGACGUGAAACUUUUUGAAAGUUUAGAGCGAACUUACUGUGGGACCAACUUGCUUCCAGAUUGCUUACACCUGGGGAGACAAUACCACCAUGAAGAUGGCAGAUAACCCAUGAUGAAGUGCUAAGUUGUUUGCUAUGGUGUAGCUGGAAUUCAGAGGGGAGAGACUUAUGGCUACCAGAUCCAAGAUAGCUCUCACGUGUGAAUAUGUGUCUAGUGCAUCCUUAACCUAAGGACUUCAGUUCGAAAUUACAGUUUUCACCAUCAACUACCUUAUCCUUUUUGGUCUGGUUUUCUUCCUCAAACAGUGGAAACAUUUUUAAAGUUGCUUUUGUUGCAGAGUUAAACAAAUGGCUGAUAGUGGCUUAGAUAAAAAAUCCACAAAAUGCCCCGACUGUUCAUCUGCUUCUCAGAAAGAUGUACUUUGUGUAUGUUCCAGCAAAACAAGGGUUCCUCCAGUUUUGGUGGUGGAAAUGUCACAGACAUCAAGCAUUGGUAGUGCAGAAUCUUUAAUUUCACUGGAGAGAAAAAAAGAAAAAAAUAUCAACAGAGAUAUAACCUCUAGGAAAGAUUUGGUAAAUAUCAAAGAUUCCGCAUCUAAGCACAAG
RNAcentral lists this small RNA (803 nucleotides) under Pan troglodytes (chimpanzee). Its description in RNAcentral is "retained intron". Lineage: Eukaryota; Metazoa; Chordata; Mammalia; Primates; Hominidae. The record is from RNAcentral.